Cotesia glomerata is the source of this 1032-nucleotide long non-coding RNA. RefSeq lists it as uncharacterized. The record is from RefSeq and is a predicted model, not a curated record. Lineage: Eukaryota; Metazoa; Arthropoda; Insecta; Hymenoptera; Braconidae. The transcript is spliced from 3 exons.
GAGAGUUACUGACAUACUGACAAACUGACAUACAAGUGAAGCUAAUAUAAAGCGUGGAAAAAAGAAAUCAGCUGCCCGGUUGAUAAACAAGGAUGGUUUCGUUUCUCCCAUUAAUUGAGUGAAAACCAUCUUUGGGAUCAACCGAUUAUUUCCAGCGUACAUCUGAAAAUGUUGUAUAUCGAUUUAUUUGUACCAGAACAACCAUUGUCAAAAAAUUUGAAAGGAAAGUGUCAUUCGUACAUGCCUCCAAAUCUCUUUAUUAGGUCUAUCAGGACCUAGGGAAUAAUAUUCUUAAGUUUGAAAAACUGCGUCGAUUGCCAUAAACAGAAUGAAAAUUGAACAAUUUGUUCAAGCGUAAUCGUUAUCAAAAAAUGUGUAAGAGUGUUUUUCUUCCAUAACCAUUAAAUUUAUUGUCGAAUAAUCUCACAACUAAAGAAAUAUUUAUCAGUGCUCAAGAAACUGCCAUGAACAUCGCAAACCAAAUGAAAAAUGGUACAUUUGUUCGGGGGAUAUUUCAGUUCAAUAUUUUCUAAAGUGUCUUCUUAACAACUACUCAAUUUUCGGGCCUCGAAAAUAUAUAAAAGUAGCGUCUCUUAGCUUGACAAGCUGAAAUCAUGAUGAUAAUUGAAAAUUUUUCAAGCCUUUUUAGCUCAAACAUAGCGGGAGGUUCCAAGAAUGAUUUGUAGGCGAAUGACGUGACAAAUGAAAGUGGUUGUACAUAUUUGAAGGUAUUUUUGAAUAAGUUUAAUUUUGUUAGUAGCUAGCAUUACUUAAAUAAACAAUAUAACUUACUUCAUUUUUUUCGCUGUUUUCGUCCCCAACCCGCUCCCUUCUUUCACCCUCCAAAGUACCGGAAACGUUGAUAUGUUCCAACAAGUCUAUUAAAUAAAAAAUUUUUUUUCAUAUCGUAGUAUCAUCAAACAUUGUAAAACUGCAGUUGGCUCAUUAUUUGAAUGAACCGUUUAUUUAAGUGAUUCUGUAUGAUAACCAUUUAUCAAUAUCCACGUUGAUAAAUUUUUCCCCUUAUACUAU